UGGAUUUUUGUGAUAGAAAAUGUUUUUUGAAAGCGCAUAAGCUGGUGAUUGGGUCUGAAGAGUUGGUUGUGUUUCUUCGGGAGUGUAGGAUUGGUGAUGUGUUCCCUAUGUCGAUACAUCGUAUAGGGCUUCCCGCUGGAUCCAAGAGGAUUUUGGGAUCUGUGAAGUAUCGCUGUUUGGGUUUUGCUUGUACGGAUGCGGAACGCAUGGUGUGUACCCGUGGAGGGAGGUUGCGUCUGUUUGAGCUUGGUUUGCGCAUAAAGUGUGGGCGUCUCCUGGAUCAUCACCUCCAUAGUCUCCGGUGCCAGCUGCACAGU
This 317-nucleotide long non-coding RNA is filed under the name Androctonus crassicauda. The record is from RNAcentral. Lineage: Eukaryota; Metazoa; Arthropoda; Arachnida; Scorpiones; Buthidae.